This 403-nucleotide ribosomal RNA is filed under the name Verrucomicrobiota bacterium. Its description in RNAcentral is "Verrucomicrobia bacterium partial 16S ribosomal RNA". It matches the Rfam family "Bacterial small subunit ribosomal RNA", at positions 355 to 776 of the family's 1533-position model. Lineage: Bacteria; Pseudomonadati; Verrucomicrobiota. The record is from RNAcentral.
UGGGGAAUAUUGCACAAUGGGCGCAAGCCUGAUGCAGCAACGCCGCGUGAACGAUGAAGGUCUUCGGAUCGUAAAGUUCUGUUGCAGGGGAAGAUAAUGACGGUACCCUGUGAGGAAGCCCCGGCUAACUACGUGCCAGCAGCCGCGGUAAUACGUAGGUCCCGAGCGUUGUCCGGAUUUAUUGGGCGUAAAGCGAGCGCAGGCGGUUAGAAAAGUCUGAAGUGAAAGGCAGUGGCUCAACCAUUGUAGGCUUUGGCAACUGUUUGACGUGAGUGCAGAAGGGGAGGGUGGAAUUCCAUGUGUAGCGGUGAAAUGCGUAGAUAUAUGGAGGAACACCGGUGGCGAAAGCGGCUCUCGGGUCUGUAACUGACGCUGAGGCUCGAAAGCGUGGGGAGCGAACAGG